UGCAAGUCGAACGGUAACGCGGACUUCGGUCUGGCGACGAGUGGCGAACGGGUGAGUAAUGCAUCGGAACGUAUCCAUUUGUGGGGGAUAGCCCGGCGAAAGCCGGAUUAAUACCGCAUAAUCUCUGAGGAGGAAGUGGGGGACCUUCGGGCCUUACGCUGAUGGAGCGGCUGAUGUCGGAUUAGCUAGUUGGUAGGGUAAAGGCCUACCAAGGCGACGAUCCGUAGCUGGUCUGAGAGGACGACCAGCCACACUGGAACUGAGACACGGUCCAGACUCC
This 280-nucleotide ribosomal RNA is filed under the name unidentified marine bacterioplankton. RNAcentral's name for it is "partial 16S ribosomal RNA". It matches the Rfam family "Bacterial small subunit ribosomal RNA", at positions 56 to 339 of the family's 1533-position model. RNAcentral also lists the same sequence under 1 other name. The record is from RNAcentral.